This is a small nuclear RNA of Pteropus vampyrus (large flying fox), 103 nucleotides long. Lineage: Eukaryota; Metazoa; Chordata; Mammalia; Chiroptera; Pteropodidae. The record is from Ensembl.
UUGGAAUGGCAGCACAUAUACUAAAAUUGGAGCAAUACAGAAAAGAUUAGCGUGGCCACUGAGCAAGGACGACAUGCAAAUUCGUGAGAUGUUCUAUAUUUUG